UCCGAGUUGACCCCGGCAGUCUCCUAUGAGUCCCCACCAUUACGUGCUGGCAACAUAGAACGAGGGUUGCGCUCGUUGCGGGACUUAACCCAACAUCUCACGACACGAGCUGACGACAGCCAUGCACCACCUGUACACCGACCUUGCGGGGCGACUGUUUCCAGCCGUUUCCGGUGUAUGUCAAGCCUUGGUAAGGAUCUUCGCGUUGCAUCGAAUUAAUCCGCAUGCUCCGCCGCUUGUGCGGGCCCCCGUCAAUUCCUUUGAGUUUCAGUCUUGCGACCGUACUCCCCAGGCGGAGUGCUUAAUGUGUUGACUUCGGCACAGCAGGGGUCGAUACCCGCUACACCAAGCACUCAUCGUUAACGGCGUGGACUAC
Molecule: unclassified non-coding RNA, 376 nt
Filed under: uncultured Actinomycetes bacterium
Lineage: Bacteria; Bacillati; Actinomycetota; Actinomycetes
Description: uncultured actinobacterium contains 16S-23S intergenic spacer region
Source: RNAcentral